CAUUGCCUACCUCUUCUUCCUCAACCCGCUCCACCACCCCUCCUUCUCUAGCAUCCGACUUCUCAUCGGUCCUCUAAUUCCACCAACACUCUUCUUCUUCUUCUCUGAUCCCCCCACCUUCUUCUUCUUCUUCUUUUCCUCCAUGCCCCCCCCCAACUAACACCAAUCCCACUAUAUUUUUUUUAGAUCCCUUCUCUUCCUCUUCUCCCCAAGUCCACCGCCCCUUU
RNAcentral lists this long non-coding RNA (227 nucleotides) under Elaeis guineensis (African oil palm). Its description in RNAcentral is "long non-coding RNA (EGUI_LNC032822)". Lineage: Eukaryota; Viridiplantae; Streptophyta; Magnoliopsida; Arecales; Arecaceae. The record is from RNAcentral.